UACAGAGGGUGCGAGCGUUGUCCGGAAUCACUGGGCGUAAAGGGCGCGUAGGCGGUCCCCUAAGUGUGUGGUGAAAGCUCGGGGCUCAACCCCGAGUCGGCCGUGCAAACUGGGGGACUCGAGCACGUCAGAGGCAGGCGGAAUUCCGGGUGUAGCGGUGGAAUGCGUAGAGAUCCGGAAGAACACCGGUGGCGAAGGCGGCCUGCUGGGACGUGGCUGACGCUGAGGCGCGACAGCGUGGGGAGCAAACAGG
RNAcentral lists this ribosomal RNA (253 nucleotides) under uncultured bacterium. Its description in RNAcentral is "partial 16S ribosomal RNA". It matches the Rfam family "Bacterial small subunit ribosomal RNA", at positions 524 to 776 of the family's 1533-position model. The record is from RNAcentral.